UCCGAGUUGACCCCGGCAGUCUCCCAUGAGUCCCCAACCGAAUUGCUGGCAACAUGGAACGAGGGUUGCGCUCGUUGCGGGACUUAACCCAACAUCUCACGACACGAGCUGACGACAACCAUGCACCACCUGUACACCGACCUUACGGGGAGCACAUCUCUGCACUUUACCGGUGUAUGUCAAGCCUUGGUAAGGUUCUUCGCGUUGCAUCGAAUUAAUCCGCAUGCUCCGCCGCUUGUGCGGGCCCCCGUCAAUUCCUUUGAGUUUUAGCCUUGCGGCCGUACUCCCCAGGCGGGGCGCUUAAUGCGUUAGCUGCGGCACAGAACUCGUGGAAUGAGCCCCACACCUAGCGCCCAACGUUUACGGCAUGGACUAC
This 376-nucleotide unclassified non-coding RNA is filed under the name uncultured Dermatophilaceae bacterium. RNAcentral's name for it is "contains 16S-23S intergenic spacer region". The record is from RNAcentral. Lineage: Bacteria; Bacillati; Actinomycetota; Actinomycetes; Micrococcales; Dermatophilaceae.